This 395-nucleotide ribosomal RNA is filed under the name uncultured bacterium. RNAcentral describes it as "partial 16S ribosomal RNA". It matches the Rfam family "Bacterial small subunit ribosomal RNA", at positions 523 to 918 of the family's 1533-position model. The record is from RNAcentral.
AUACGUAGGGUGCAAGCGUUAAUCGGAAUUACUGGGCGUAAAGCGUGCGCAGGCGGUUUUGUAAGACAGUGGUGAAAUCCCCGGGCUCAACCUGGGAACUGCCAUUGUGACUGCAAGGCUGGAGUGCGGCAGAGGGGGAUGGAAUUCCGCGUGUAGCAGUGAAAUGCGUAGAUAUGCGGGGGAACACCGAUGGCGAAGGCAAUCCCCUGGGCCUGCACUGACGCUCAUGCACGAAAGCGUGGGGAGCAAACAGGAUUAGAUACCCUGGUAGUCCACGCCCUAAACGAUGUCAACUGGUUGUUGGGGAUUUAUUUUCUCAGUAACGAAGCUAACGCGUGAAGUUGACCGCCUGGGGAGUACGGCCGCAAGGUUAAAACUCAAAUGAAUUGGCGGGG